Molecule: long non-coding RNA, 1808 nt
Filed under: Nasonia vitripennis (jewel wasp)
Lineage: Eukaryota; Metazoa; Arthropoda; Insecta; Hymenoptera; Pteromalidae
Description: uncharacterized LOC107980728
Source: RNAcentral
UUUAACUUGAGGCAUCAACGUUUACAUAUUUUUCCAAGCUGUUUUCAAAAAAUCGAUAGCGAUGACACACAUGCGGUUUCUAUCAUACUUGGUAUUUUUAAUAAUCGCUGUGAAUCGAAGCAUUACGGUCUAUGCUACAUUGAACACUCAAGUAUGUCACAUCGCUUCUUUUUUUGUUGACUACUUGAUUGAAGAUAAGAAGGUUGAAGUGCAGUUUUUCAAUUAUACGAGGGAACACAGUAAUAUGACAAAUUUAAAGUUUGAUCCAAAUAAUAAAGAACCACUAUAAUAGUUCAUGGAUUUCUUAGUACUCAUAAAGCCGAUUGGGUUGCAAAAUUGACGCAGAAGUUGCUUAGAUUGGAAGACAUGAAUGUUAUCGCUGUCGAUUGGUCUAAUGUUUUUUGUAAAGGACUCUCUUGUAUAUUAUAAAGGGACUGCUAGAAAAUCGAAAUUCGUUCCAGAGCAAAUCUACCUGUUUCUUUUAAAAUGGGCGAAGCAUAAAUCUGGAUAUAAAAUUAUUUGGCUACAUUUACACUUAAUUGGAUACAGUCUUAAAGCGCAUAUUCUUGGUGGAGUUACCAGAAAGUUAAAACCACACGUGAACGUGAAUCGAAUCACUGAAUUAGAUCCAGCUAAGCCAUAUUUUGAUGAAGCUGGUCAACAUCUCCGACUUUAUAAAUCUUGCGCUCAAUUCGUAGACGUUAUUCAUACAAACAGUGAUCCAAAGGCCGAUAAUUUUGGAAUAUAUGAACCACUUGGCAUGAUUUUUUUAAUUUCUAACCGUGCUUUCAUGUUACUCAAUCUGUGCAGCAUAUUUAUUUUUUACCUAUUCGUCAUAUAUCAAACGGUUUAAUGUUUUUGAAGGUCACAUUGAUUUUUACCCAAAUGGCGGUGACAGACAAUGCCGAUGCUCCAGUAUGAAAGUCCCAAUAUCAAUACCCACCAAAGAUUCAGAAUUCGUAAAAUGUUUUUCGAUUAUACGAUAACAUACUAUCGCGUUUCGAAGAUGCGGCAACAACAUGAUCUGUGACCACACGGGAUGCCCGGACUAUUUUGCUGAUUUAAUAUAAAGCGAAGAACCUUUUCUUGCAUGCAAAGUGGACUUUCCAAUUAAUAAAAGAAAUAAUAUCUGCGGUGGUUACAAGAGCCGCAGCAAGGGAACGUGGAUAGAAAUGGUAAUGAAUGCCUAUUUGUACAACGACUCUCGUUAUCACGGUACAUAUUACGUUGAUAUUUCGUGCAGCACACUCAUGAAGGGAAAACGAAAAUACUUGCUUAACCAUCACAAAUAAUACUCAAAUUAAUUUUAACUAUAACAAACAAAAAAUUCAAAAUUGAAAUGAAAACCGAAAGGUCUUGAAAAAUAAACUCAAAGCUAGAGAAUUUCAAGCAGCUCCUCAGGAAUGACGAUCGCAGACUCGACCACGAACUGUCCGCCCGACCGUCCGCAUACCCUCGGAAGGCACAAACCGAUGCUCCGCACACAUCAAAGAGCCCGUGGCCAAACGCGAUGCAAUUCGGAUGGCACAGCGAUGCGACCGUCAGCGCAUACACAAAGCGAUGCGGAUGGGGAUAGCAUACGAUAGAACGCAAGCGAGUUGGUGACGCCGUCAUUGGCCAAAGAGACAGGACGAGAGGCGAUCAACGUGUCGCUCGGAUAAACCUAACAUGCCCGCGUGUUCUCUACGCGACGGUUUGACUAGAUCAUAGUUACGUCAGGUAUAUGUUAAAGAAUCCGGUAUAGAGUAAAGCUAUGUUUUUUUGUGUCUGUAUAAAAUAAUUGAAAACACUGCGCAUAUCCAUCUCAA